GACGAACGCUGGCGGCGUGCUUAACACAUGCAAGUCGAACGGAAAGGCCCUGCUUUUGUGGGGUGCUCGAGUGGCGAACGGGUGAGUAACACGUGAGUAACCUGCCCUUGACUUUGGGAUAACUUCAGGAAACUGGGGCUAAUACCGGAUAGGAGCUCCUGCUGCAUGGUGGGGGUUGGAAAGUUUCGGCGGUUGGGGAUGGACUCGCGGCUUAUCAGCUUGUUGGUGGGGUAGUGGCUUACCAAGGCUUUGACGGGUAGCCGGCCUGAGAGGGUGACCGGCCACAUGGAGUGUGGUGUGGGGCGCCGACGCCGAGGGGAGGGAGGAGGGGGAUAGAGGGCAAGGUGCGGGGAAGCCGGGUGCAGCCACGCCGCGGGGGGGACGAGGGCUUGGGGGGUGGACGACGCUUCGGAGGGUGAGGAAGGGGGAGGGGCGGAAGUGGGAAAAGAAGCACCGGCAACCGAGGUGCCGGAAGCUGAGAUAAGAGGUCGAGGAGCACUGGUCUAAAC
RNAcentral lists this ribosomal RNA (509 nucleotides) under uncultured bacterium. RNAcentral describes it as "partial 16S ribosomal RNA". The stretch from base 12 to 374 matches the Rfam family "Bacterial small subunit ribosomal RNA", at positions 39 to 400 of the family's 1533-position model. The record is from RNAcentral.